UUUAGAUGCACUAUUGUAAAGUGGCUGUUCCACUGGAUGUCAGAAGGUGAAUUCACCAAUUUGUAAGUCGCUCUGGAUAAGAGCGUCUGCUAAAUGACUUAAAUGUAAAUGUAAAUUGUGGUUCCACACGUUGAAUAGGUACAAAAAUAUUGGUGGUGAACCAAAAAAAAAGUAAAGGGUACGACACUGUCAACCUGGACUCAGGGGUAGACGUAACAUAAUAAAUGUAAAUCUUGGACACUCCUAUUAGUAUGAUAUGUUACAUUUCAUUUGGUAUAUAUUAAUUUGUGGAUGGCCAUCAUCCAUUUCAUAUGAUAUGUUACAAAUUUCAAUUCCUAUGAUAUGUUACGAAUUUGGAAAAAGUAUGCUAUGUUGUGAAUUCCAAUUUGUUGUGGCUAAUGUUUGCUAGGUGGCUAACACUAGUAUUAGCUAGGUGGCUAAUGUUAAGUAAUCUUAAGUAACCUUCUUUCUUAUGUAACCGUACCAUAUUGUCAGGAAAAGAAAAGAGAGAGAACAACGAAAAAGCCUGGUCUUAUAACUUGUGGUGCCCGACCCCUUGCCCAUGUGUGUACAUUUUAACAUCAAUUGGGGAGAGAGAGACUCAAAUAUCCCAUUCAUUUAUACAUACAGGGCACGUUUGAGUAGUAAGGCGAAAGCAACCGACUGUAGUCAAAGAGUGGGGAGGUGCAUCUGCAACAGUCGAAAAUCGGACGCUAAUGUGAUUUACCAACAGUAAGGCUCAGUGCAACAUGCCAUUGUUUAUAAAAGAUUUUCUUUGUAAUGUCAAAAUAAAACAACCCCCAUAUCACACACUCAUAAACUGUAACUAUACUGUAUAUGUGCCUGCUCUCCAGGACAUCUACAGCACCUGGUGUCACAGGAAGACCAAGAAGAUAGUCAAGGACCUCAUUCCUCCAAGCUACGGCCAGUUCACCCCACUACCAUCUAGAAGGCGGAGACAGUACAGUGUGUGAACUCCAUGCUCCAGUCAAUGUGACUCUCUCCUCCAGCCAUUUUGUCCAUAUCCUGACCUGGUAUCCAGGGGUGUGUACUACCUCGUGAUGGGUUGCUCUGACAGCCCACCUGGAUCUACCCUUGGUGAGUGAGAGCCUGUGACAGCACUCUGUGUGGACCUGAGGCCUCCUGUGGAUGGCCAACAAGAUGUCUACGACAGGUUCAGCUACAAACUCCACAUCAGACGCAAACCGCAACAGGGAUGGCGCAACAAGAUAAAUACAACACCAGGAGAACAUGCCUCCAGUGUCCUACAAUGAGGAACGGUUUCCCUCAGUGCAUUUAGUUCCACCAUCGUCAGCCUUCGCGAAGCAGUGGAAAGGAUGGAGAGAGUAAGGACAGCAGUGAUCGAGACGGAGGGGAAGAUAAAUAGUGGGGGAGGAGGAGGGCACGAGACACGAGGGGCUGCUGCCGAUCUGUCCUCUCUCAACCCCCUCUCCUCUUCCUCCUCUUCUUCCACUAAAACAGAGGUGCUCCUACCCCAUCCAAAAACACUCUCCGGCCUAUCCCACUGUCCUGUCCACAAAGCUUAAGACCACCUCUGAGACAGUGUCCA
Molecule: long non-coding RNA, 1570 nt
Organism: Oncorhynchus masou masou (cherry salmon)
Lineage: Eukaryota; Metazoa; Chordata; Actinopteri; Salmoniformes; Salmonidae
Exons: 4
Source: RefSeq, a predicted model, not a curated record